This 497-nucleotide ribosomal RNA is filed under the name uncultured bacterium. RNAcentral describes it as "partial 16S ribosomal RNA". It matches the Rfam family "Bacterial small subunit ribosomal RNA", at positions 28 to 507 of the family's 1533-position model. The record is from RNAcentral.
GAUGAACGCUGGCGGCGUGCCUAAUACAUGCAAGUCGAGCGAACAGACGAGGCGCUUGCUCCCCUGACGUUAUCGGCGGACGGAUGAGUAACACGUGGAUAACCUACCUAUAAGACUGCGAUAACUUCGGGAAACCGGAGCUAAUACCGGAUAAUAUAUUGAACCGCAUGGUUCAAUAGUGAAAGACGGUUUUGCUGUCACUUAUAGAUGGAUCCGCGCCGCAUUAGCUAGUUGGUAAGGUAACGGCUUACCAAGGCGACGAUGCGUAGCCGACCUGAGAGGGAGAUCGGACAAACUGGAACUGGGACACGGUCCAGACUCCUACGGGAGGCAGCAGUAGGGAAUAUUCCGCAAUGGGCGAAAGCCUGACGGAGCAACGCCGCGUGAGUGAUGAAGGUCUUCGGAUCGUAAAACUCUGUUAGUAGGGAAGAACAAAUGUGUAAGUAACUAUGCACGUCUUGACGGUACCUAAUCAGAAAGCCACGGCUAACUACGUG